AUGACUCCCAUCUUCAUGGUCAUCUGGAUGUUUAUAUCCUCCUUUACAGAGUCAUAUGGACAGGUCACUGUGACUCAGACUCCUGCAGUGAAAGCUGUUCAACAGGGAGAAUCCGUCACACUAAACUGUCGAACAAGCAGUAAUGUUUAUAUAGCUCACUUCAUCUGCAGCCCAUCAACACCCAGUGUGACCAAAGCAACAAAAGUCAGUAUAGCAUGCAGAUGUCAGAUUACUGUGACUCAGACUCCAGCAGUGAAAGCUGCUCUUGUGGGACAAACCAUCACACUCAACUGCAGGACCAGCACAGGACUUGAUGGGAUUUGUAGCAGAGGCCACUGUUUCUCCUGGUACCUUCAGAAACCUGGAGAAGCUCCUAAACUGUUAAUUUAUCUCAUAAGCUUGCGCUAUGGAUCAACUCCCAGUCGCUUUGUUGGUGGAGGAUCCAAUUAUGGCAGUGACUUCACUCUGACCAUCAGUGAUGUCCAGGCUGAGGAUGCAGGAGUUUACUACUGUCAGAGUCUCCAUAGUGGUAAUGUGUUCACACAGUGA
This is a non-coding RNA of Engraulis encrasicolus (European anchovy), 549 nucleotides long. NCBI's taxonomy places the organism in Eukaryota, Metazoa, Chordata, Actinopteri, Clupeiformes, Engraulidae. The record is from the annotation of a RefSeq genome assembly.